AGCAGCCGCGGUAAUUCCAGCUCCAAUAGCGUAUAUUAAAGUUGUUGCAGUUAAAAGCUCGUAGUUGAACUUCAGGCCUGUCCAGACGGUCCGCCUUAAUUGGUGUGUACUGUCCUUGGGUGGGUCCUACCUUCUGGCGAAGCGGCAUGGCCUUAGUUGGUUGUGUUGGGGAACCAGGACUUCUACUGUGAAAAAUUGAGUGUUCAAAGCAGGCAAAUAUGCUCGAAUACAUUAGCAUGGAAUAAUGGAAUAGGACGAUGGUUCUAUUUUGUUGGUUCUAGGACCGUUGUAAUGAUUAAUAGGGAUAGUUGGGGGCAUUAGUAUUCAAUUGUCAGAGGUGAAAUUCUUGGAUUUAUUGAAGACUAACUACUGCGAAAGCAUUUGCCAAGGAUGUUUUCAUUAAUCAAG
RNAcentral lists this ribosomal RNA (408 nucleotides) under uncultured Glomeromycotina. RNAcentral's name for it is "bacterial SSU rRNA". It matches the Rfam family "Eukaryotic small subunit ribosomal RNA", at positions 569 to 981 of the family's 1831-position model. The record is from RNAcentral. Lineage: Eukaryota; Fungi; Glomeromycota.